CAAUAGGUGAGGUGUCAGAGAGACUAUAAAAUACCCAGCACUGAAGUUACUCUAGUCUCUUAAACAUGCAAGUCUUGAAGGUGUUAAGAGAGACGUCAGGCGGUGCGUACGGAAUGCUCGAAGCUGAAAUCUCCCCAGACCUCUCUAAAGGGGGCUGGCCGAGCUGGGAGGAGGUGGAGAUGAAGAUGAGGUGAUAGGAUUCAGCUGGGCGCCCCAGCCACGGAGCACCGGCUGGGGCGCCAUCUACGAGCGUGUAGCGCUGUUGUAGUAGAAGCGAUGUCUUCUUUGUUUGCCUUGGACUUGUAUGCACCCAUCACCAUGGGAGCAUACGAGUUAUUUUUGCAGCGUGUCAAGGCAAACAAUUACGACUUGGUGUUCCCUGUUUCUUAUCUGAGUGUACACGAUGAUCCGACUGGAACCCAUCGUUCCAUCUUUACAGUCUUCGUCAGGUCAAAAGUUUCAAAACCCACAGCAUUACAUAAAGGAGAGUCCCCCAAAGUACAUUACCAUCCAUCAAGGAGACAACUUAGCAAGUCAAGACAACACUAUUUCCGACAAUUCUAAUCAUCUUUGGGGAGAAAUAAAAGACCCUGACUUGCACAAACAGAGUCUGCCAUUAACUGUACCUCUUCAAUGGAAUAAUAUUGUGGAAAAUCUUCCAUUAGAUGACAGAUUAGGUAUAUCAGAGUCUAAUCUCAAUAACUCUGGUUCCGACACUUCUAGCAAUUUAACAAAUAAAAGCACUGGGUAACUGAAUACAGUUUUCUGAAGUCCCCAGUCAACUUUAGUUUCGAAGAGAAGCAGUGUUCAUCAGCUUCUGUUGAAUUGUUAGAAGUGAGAACGAACAUGACCAAGAGUAUUAAAAGGCAAACUCAUCCAUUCAAAAUAAAUAAAGAGUAUAUAUGAAAAUAAUAGUUACGAAAGGUCGCAUUAGAUGAGCUAGGAAUACACACAGAUAAGAGACUGAAAAAAACUAUGUAAAUAGUAGUGUUAUCAUGUUGAUACUUAAUGCAGUAUUUCUGAAUGUUUAUUUUUUUGUGUGUUUAAAUAAGUAACUCAUAAACCGUUUAACAUUUUUGAUAAUAGAUUAUGUUUGCUCUCUCUCUCUCUCUCCUCUCUCUCUGUUUGCUCUCUCUCUCUCUUUUCCUUUUUUUCAUCCUCUCGUUAAAAAAAUAAAUAAAUUAUGCUAUGAAAUCU
Long non-coding RNA from Pomacea canaliculata, 1197 nucleotides. RefSeq lists it as uncharacterized. The transcript is spliced from 2 exons. The record is from RefSeq and is a predicted model, not a curated record. Lineage: Eukaryota; Metazoa; Mollusca; Gastropoda; Architaenioglossa; Ampullariidae.